UAAAGCGUGAAAGAGCGUAGAGUGAAUGCCUUGGCAUUGGGAGCCGAAGAAGGACGUGGUUAACUGCGAAAAGCUGCGGGGAGUCGUAAGCAGACAUUGAUCCGCAGAUGUCCGAAUGGAGCAAUCCGCAUGGAGGUAGUCCAUGCAUCCAUAAGUGAAUCCAUAGCUUAUGGAGGGGAACCGCCUGAACUGAAACAUCUAAGUAGGGCGAGGAAGAGAAAUCAAACGAGAUUUCGUAAGUAGUGGCGAGCGAACGCGAAAGAGGCCAAACCAAUAGAAGAAAUUCUGUUGGGGUUACGGACUGCGGAAAGCAUUCUUUUUCUUUAGCUGAACGGUAUGGGAAAGCCGACCGGAGAAUGUGAUAGUCAUGUAAGCGAAAAGGAAAAAGAGCUGGCAGGAUCCAGAGUACCGCGGGACACGAGGAAUCCCGUGGGAAGUCGGGGGGACCACCCUCCAAGCCUAAAUACUACCCAAUGACCGAUAGCGAAAAGUACUGUGAAGGAACGGUGAAAAGAACCCCGGGAGGGGAGUGAAAAGAACCUGAAACUCUAUGCUUACAAGCACAUAGAGCACGUCAAAGUGUGAUAUGGUACCUUUUGUAGAAUGGUCCGGCGAGUUAUUGUAUGCAGCAAGGUUAAGGUCUUCAGGACUGAAGCCGAAGCGAGAGCGAGUCUGACAAGGGCGAUGAGUUGCAUGCAAUAGACCCGAAACCGGGUGACCUAGCCAUGUUCAGGUUGAAGUGGAGGUAAAGCUCCAUGGAGGACCGAACCGACCUCCGUUGAAAAGGCGGCGGAUGAAAUGUGGCUAGCGGAGAAAUUCCAAUCGAACCCGGAAAUAGCUGGUUCUCCCCGAAAUAGCUUUAGGGCUAGCGUUGUAUUAGAUUUCUGGGGGUAAAGCACUGAAUAGGCUAGGGGCCGAGAGGUUACUGAACCUUAUCAAACUAAGAAUACCAGAAAAUUGAUGUACAGCAGUCAGACUAUGUGAGAUAAGUCUCAUAGUCAAAAGGGAAACAGCCCAGACCCACAGCUAAGGUCCCCAAACAGGUUUAAGUGGAAAAGGAUGUGGGAUUGCUUAGACAACCAGGAUGUUGGCUUAGAAGCAGCCACUCAUUAAAAGAGUGCGUAAUAGCUCACUGGUCGAGUGAUCCUGCGCCGAAAAUUCAACGGGGCUAAAAUCUGUACCGAAGCUUGGGCUUGACAUGAAAAUGUCAGGGGUAGGGGAGCGUCAUGUGCGAGGAGAAGUCAUAGCGGAAGCGGUGGUGGAUUGCACAUGAGAGAGAAUGCCGGAAUGAGUAGCGAGAAUUAUGUGAGAAUCAUAAUGGCCGAAAAUCUAAGGUUUCCUGAGGAAGGUUCGUCCGCUCAGGGUAAGCCGGGAGCUAAGGUGAGGCGGAAACGCGUAGCCGAUGCACAUACGGUAGAGAUUCCGUAGCCUCCGAAAAGUAAAGCACAGGGACGCUUCAGAAGUGUUACGCCGGGCGAUGGUAGACCCGGUCGUAAGGGACACAAAUGAGUGGAAGGUAACAUGGAUGGAGACAAGAAAAGCUGUGUGUAUCUGGAAGGAGCCCGUACCGCAAACCGACACAGGUAGAUAGGAAGAAGAUUCUAAGGCCAGCGGGAGAAGGGUUGUUAAGGAACUCGGCAAGUUGACCCCGUAACUUCGGGAGAAGGGGUGCUUACGAAGGUAAGCCGCAGAGAAUAGGCCCAAGCGACUGUUUAGCAAAAACACAGCUCUAUGCUAAAUCGAAAGAUGACGUAUAUGGGGUGACACCUGCCCGGUGCUGGAAGGUUAAGAGGAGAUGUGAGAGCAUUGAAUUGAAGCCCCAGUAAACGGCGGCCGUAACUAUAACGGUCCUAAGGUAGCGAAAUUCCUUGUCAGGUAAGUUCUGACCCGCACGAAUGGUG
This 1901-nucleotide ribosomal RNA is filed under the name activated sludge metagenome. RNAcentral's name for it is "bacterial LSU rRNA". It matches the Rfam family "Bacterial large subunit ribosomal RNA", at positions 1 to 2001 of the family's 2925-position model. The record is from RNAcentral.